RNAcentral lists this ribosomal RNA (253 nucleotides) under uncultured bacterium. Its description in RNAcentral is "partial 16S ribosomal RNA". It matches the Rfam family "Bacterial small subunit ribosomal RNA", at positions 524 to 776 of the family's 1533-position model. The record is from RNAcentral.
UACGGAGGGGGCGAGCGUUAUUCGGAAUUAUUGGGCGUAAAGAGCGUGUAGGCGGCCAGGUAGGUCUGCUGUGAAAACUCGAGGCUCAACCUCGAGACGUCGGCGGAAACCAUCUGGCUAGAGUCCGGAAGAGGAGAGUGGAAUUCCUGGUGUAGCGGUGAAAUGCGCAGAUAUCAGGAAGAACACCCGUGGCGAAGGCGGCUCUCUGGGACGGUACUGACGCUGAGACGCGAAAGCGUGGGGAGCGAACAGG